GGCUGCAAGUCUGAGACCACUUCAGAAGCGCUCAUAGUGCAGCCCUGUCAGAUUCCAGUGAAUCUGCAAACUCUGCU
RNAcentral lists this ribozyme (77 nucleotides) under Crocodylus porosus (Australian saltwater crocodile). RNAcentral's name for it is "Mammalian CPEB3 ribozyme (ENSCPRG00005000322.1)". It matches the Rfam family "Mammalian CPEB3 ribozyme". From Rfam's summary of the family: The mammalian CPEB3 ribozyme is a self cleaving RNA located in the second intron of the CPEB3 gene which belongs to a family of genes regulating messenger RNA polyadenylation. Lineage: Eukaryota; Metazoa; Chordata; Crocodylia; Crocodylidae. The record is from Rfam by way of RNAcentral.